AACGCACAUUGCGCCCUUUGGUAUUCCGAGGGGCAUGCCUGUUCGAGCGUCAUUACAACCCUCAAGCUCUGCUUGGUAUUCAGCACUGUCUCUGGGGCAGGCUGCAAAAGCAAUGGCGGCCGGUAGUUGGCUCCAAGCGUAGUACAAUCUCUUGCUAUGGAACCUGCUAUCGACCUGCUAUCGACCUGCUAGCAGGUUUUUUCAUAUAGGUUGACCUCGGAUCAGGUAGGGAUACCCGCUGAACUUAA
This 248-nucleotide unclassified non-coding RNA is filed under the name uncultured fungus. RNAcentral describes it as "sequence contains ITS2". Lineage: Eukaryota; Fungi. The record is from RNAcentral.